This 465-nucleotide ribosomal RNA is filed under the name Vreelandella stevensii. RNAcentral's name for it is "partial 16S ribosomal RNA". It matches the Rfam family "Bacterial small subunit ribosomal RNA", at positions 338 to 795 of the family's 1533-position model. The record is from RNAcentral. Lineage: Bacteria; Pseudomonadati; Pseudomonadota; Gammaproteobacteria; Oceanospirillales; Halomonadaceae.
CCUACGGGGGGCAGCAGUGGGGAAUAUUGGACAAUGGGCGAAAGCCUGAUCCAGCCAUGCCGCGUGUGUGAAGAAGGCCUUCGGGUUGUAAAGCACUUUCAGUGGGGAAGAAAGCCUUGGGGCUAAUACCCUCGAGGAAGGACAUCACCCACAGAAGAAGCACCGGCUAACUCCGUGCCAGCAGCCGCGGUAAUACGGAGGGUGCGAGCGUUAAUCGGAAUUACUGGGCGUAAAGCGCGCGUAGGCGGUCUGAUAAGCCGGUUGGGAAAGCCCCGGGCUCAACCUGGGAACGGCAUCCGGAACUGUCAGGCUAGAGUGCAGGAGAGGAAGGUAGAAUUCCCGGUGUAGCGGUGAAAUGCGUAGAGAUCGGGAGGAAUACCAGUGGCGAAGGCGGCCUUCUGGACUGACACUGACGCUGAGGUGCGAAAGCGUGGGUAGCAAACAGGAUUAGAUACCCGAGUAGUC